GGAUGGGUGGCAGAGCGGUUGAUUGCAACGGUCUUGAAAACCGUCGUACCGAAAGGUACCGGGGGUUCGAAUCCCUCCCCAUCCG
RNAcentral lists this transfer RNA (85 nucleotides) under Planctomycetales bacterium. RNAcentral describes it as "tRNA-Ser". It matches the Rfam family "tRNA". Rfam says of the family: Transfer RNA (tRNA) molecules are approximately 80 nucleotides in length. Their secondary structure includes four short double-helical elements and three loops (D, anti-codon, and T loops). Lineage: Bacteria; Pseudomonadati; Planctomycetota; Planctomycetia; Planctomycetales. The record is from RNAcentral.